RNAcentral lists this ribosomal RNA (535 nucleotides) under Bacillus pumilus. RNAcentral's name for it is "bacterial SSU rRNA". It matches the Rfam family "Bacterial small subunit ribosomal RNA", at positions 8 to 526 of the family's 1533-position model. The record is from RNAcentral. Lineage: Bacteria; Bacillati; Bacillota; Bacilli; Caryophanales; Bacillaceae.
AGAGUUUGAUCAUGGCUCAGGACGAACGCUGGCGGCGUGCCUAAUACAUGCAAGUCGAGCGGACAGAAGGGAGCUUGCUCCCGGAUGUUAGCGGCGGACGGGUGAGUAACACGUGGGUAACCUGCCUGUAAGACUGGGAUAACUCCGGGAAACCGGAGCUAAUACCGGAUAGUUCCUUGAACCGCAUGGUUCAAGGAUGAAAGACGGUUUCGGCUGUCACUUACAGAUGGACCCGCGGCGCAUUAGCUAGUUGGUGGGGUAAUGGCUCACCAAGGCGACGAUGCGUAGCCGACCUGAGAGGGUGAUCGGCCACACUGGGACUGAGACACGGCCCAGACUCCUACGGGAGGCAGCAGUAGGGAAUCUUCCGCAAUGGACGAAAGUCUGACGGAGCAACGCCGCGUGAGUGAUGAAGGUUUUCGGAUCGUAAAGCUCUGUUGUUAGGGAAGAACAAGUGCGAGAGUAACUGCUCGCACCUUGACGGUACCUAACCAGAAAGCCACGGCUAACUACGUGCCAGCAGCCGCGGUAAUAC